UCUAGGCAAAGCCCAUUAGCAGGUAGCACAAGCUGAAUCCUGAUUUUCUAGCUGCAAAGCACGAUGUGAAGAAUGAUGAAGAUUAGCUCAUUCUUGAGUAGAUGGUGUGAAGUGCAGUUGUGAGGGCUGGAGUUGCUGUAGUCACUUUGUCACCACGAGGAAAACUGGCCCGAAGAAGAAUCUGAUGCACAGGGAAGAACAGAGCCAAGUAGAAGAGAACACUGGAGGUGGAGUCUCGUACAAAGUGCACCUGAAGCAUACUCUCUCUCUGAGCCUUUUUGAGCCACAUGAGAAUCACUGAAUUAUUUACCAGUAUAUCAGCACCAUAUAUGAGGAAGCAGAAUUUCAGAAAAGACAAAAAGAUAAAUAAAAAUAAUUUCUUAGUCUGAAGAUAAGCUGAGCUAUAUGAAGAAUGUAAUAGAUGAAAUGUGAUGCAAGCUGGACGGGACAAUAGAAAUGUCAAGAAAAACAUUUUUUUUUUUUAAUUGUGGAUAAAGUUCAGAGUUAACCUACUGGCCAAAGGCAUCAGUGCCCAGAAGGCUGGGGAUGGUUCUCAGCCAGAAGGAAGGAAAGAGAUGCUGGUGGGAAGGAGCCCAAGACAUUCCUCCUCUGAGAAGGAGGCCAAACCAGAAGAAUAUUUCAGAAAAUUGAUAUAAUAGAGCCUUGAACCACUCCAGGUGCAGUCCUGUACAGCUGUGGAAAGCUUUGUACACUUUCUAACAACUUCUCCAGGAAAAGGUUGGUAAUUCCAUUCACUGAUAUAAGGAAACCAGGAAGAGGAGCAGGCUUGCUCUCUUCAAAGGUCACCAAAAGAUGACCUAGAUCUGCACAUGAACACUUGUACAUGCCAGUCAUAAAAGGCCCUAUAUCACUCAAAAUACUAUCAGGAAGCAAAAUCCAAUUCAGAAGAUUGAAGAAACUUUCAUCCACUUCCUCAUUUUUACUAGACCCACUGCCUGGAUUCCUUUGUGCACUGAGUAUGUUGUGGGCCAAGUCUAAUUUCUCAUGAAUGUUGUGUUCUGAUCAUUACUCCUGCCAGAAAUUUGGAGCAGUGUUGUUCAGAUCAACCUGGACAACAAUUACGUGCUCUGUGCACAUGUUUAACUAAACCAGUGAUCAGAAAUGACACUUUGCUGCAAAACGGCAAAGUUGGAAACGACAUCUAUGAUGGACCAGCUGCCAGUCUUGAAGAAUCUGGUCUCCAUCUGCAUUUAGUGCGUUAUCCUUUGGAUUAUUUUGUUAGUGUGGGUAAAUUUGCAAACUGGAGCAAAUGGGGAUAUACCAGAAACUUAGAAUGGAUUUGUAGGAAAUUUUCAAACUACCU
Molecule: long non-coding RNA, 1324 nt
Organism: Herpailurus yagouaroundi (jaguarundi)
Lineage: Eukaryota; Metazoa; Chordata; Mammalia; Carnivora; Felidae
Exons: 10
Source: RefSeq, a predicted model, not a curated record